Molecule: ribosomal RNA, 540 nt
Filed under: uncultured fungus
Lineage: Eukaryota; Fungi
Description: eukaryotic LSU rRNA
Rfam family: 5.8S ribosomal RNA (bases 188-341)
Source: RNAcentral
UCUCCGUAGGUGAACCUGCGGANGGAUCAUUACAAGAACGCCCGGGCUUCGGCCUGGUUAUUCAUAACCCUUUGUUGUCCGACUCUGUUGCCUCCGGGGCGACCCUGCCUUCGGGCGGGGGCUCCGGGUGGACACUUCAAACUCUUGCGUAACUUUGCAGUCUGAGUAAACUUAAUUAAUAAAUUAAAACUUUUAACAACGGAUCUCUUGGUUCUGGCAUCGAUGAAGAACGCAGCGAAAUGCGAUAAGUAAUGUGAAUUGCAGAAUUCAGUGAAUCAUCGAAUCUUUGAACGCACAUUGCGCCCCCUGGUAUUCCGGGGGGCAUGCCUGUUCGAGCGUCAUUUCACCACUCAAGCCUCGCUUGGUAUUGGGCAACGCGGUCCGCCGCGUGCCUCAAAUCGUCCGGCUGGGUCUUCUGUCCCCUAAGCGUUGUGGAAACUGUUCGCUAAAGGGUGUUCGGGAGGCUACGCCGUAAAACAACCCCAUUUCUAAGGUUGACCUCGGAUCAGGUAGGGAUACCCGCUGAACUUAAGCAUAUCA